UUCAUAAUGCAGAACUUCAGUCCUAUUCCAGAAGGCUCUCUUCUAGCAGAAUCUGCAGGGCAUUGAUUAUAUACCCGAUGAGCCAUAGAAUCAUCAAGACCCAGGCCAGCUCCACUCGGAGUUGCUCCAUACUCUGCAUGGUCCACUCUUCUAUCUCCUUCUGUUUCCCACUUAGGUAUUCGGAGCACCAUUCAGGCUGAUGCUCAUGCUGCUACUGAACUGCCCCAGACACUGGUGUCAUCUCCAUUACCUGAAGAGGACAAUGAAAUGUCUCCUUUAUCUUUAUCCUGCUUCUGUGUAGCAGAGUCUCAAAUGAAUACAGACUUCAGGGUCGUGGCUCUUUGAGAAUGUCACACAGCACUUUAUGCCCACAGCAUACAAUGCUUCCAGAAAGUCUAGGUCAAGGCAGCCGGACAGUACCAGGAGCCUCAGGCCCUGUCGCUGAAGCUGCCCCAUCGUGCCACACUUCACAACUUCCAAAGGUAGAGUUCUCUCUGAAAACUCACAAUCUUGCCAUCUGUCUCCAUUCUCAUAUCUCAAUCUAUUCAGCUUAUCAGUCUCCAUGUGCCACUUUCCCAUGAGGCAUUUCAACAUCCAUGUAAAUCAGAAGUGAUGCAUAAACUAGGUGUCAGGAGCAUAGGGGAGCACAAGGCAUUAUCUAUUUCUGUGAGCCAUGCUUAACAUACAGCUACUCAGUACCAAAGAACUCAGUCGCUACAAUAUAGAGAUAAUUACAAACAAAUGAGUGACAUCAACGAGAUCUAAGUUGUCAUAAAUACAAUUUCAUAUUUUUUUAUGAAUGAAAAAAUAUUUAUCUUUUUUCAAAAAUUCACUUGGAAAUUAUUUUCAUGAUAUAGUACCAUGAUCAUGAUUUUAUCAUACUCUCCAACAACAUCAAUAAGAAAAACCAGCUCAGGGCAGGCCCUGUGGCAUAGUGGUUAAGUCCAGCACACUCUGCUUUGGCAGCCCAGGUUCACAAUUUUGGAUCCUGGGCAUGGACCUACACCACUCGUCAAGCCACACUUUGGUGGUGAUCCACAUACAAAAUAGAUGAAGAUUAGCAAGGUGUUAGCUCAGAGUAAAUUUUCCUCAACGAAAAAAAGAAAAGAAGGCUCUCAAGCUCUGAAGCUUUUCCUAUACUCUGCUCUUCUCCCCCAAGGCCCUAACAUUCCACACACAUUCCAUGGUUGCCAGGAUGCUCUGCUUUAUUCAGCAUUACAUCACCAGAUGCUAGGAACAUAUCUGGAGUAGAGUGGACUUUUGUGGGUUGCUUCUGGGGGCAUUAACUCCUCCCCAUCUCUGACCUGCUGCUUGAGCAGACUCCUAAUGUGUUUCUAGAGCCAGAGAAAGCCCUCAGACUGAGGCAUUUGAGGUCUCUCAUAAACAAGGAGGACAGUUUAACAGAAUUCAAAAUAACCUAAAGAGUACAAACCAAGGAAAAUUCUUUAUGACUACCAAGUAACAAUAUGAAGAAUGAAACCACUCAUGCUGGGUUGCCUACAGAUGGAAGUAGAGAGAAUAACUUAAACUAAGUACAGAAAGUUAAAUAAGAUAAUCCCCCUUUAAAUGACACGUGGCUGAUAGACCGCUAAUGCAGCCUUCUCCCUAUGGACAAAAAAACACAGAAAAAGACAAAAACUAACAGGUAAGUAAAACAGACUCAACCUUGGGCUAGAAUCUGGGAGUAACUGACAUACUUAAAAUAUAAACAGAAGUAGUCUGAGAGGGGGAAAAAAAGAAAGGAAGAAAUUUACCUGGAUUCAGUCCUUGACCAAAGUCAAGAAAUUGAAAAAAAAAUUCAGGAAGAUGCUG
Molecule: long non-coding RNA, 1812 nt
Organism: Equus asinus (donkey)
Lineage: Eukaryota; Metazoa; Chordata; Mammalia; Perissodactyla; Equidae
Source: Ensembl